UUAAACUUCAGUAGUUCGUCACGUCUCUAAAAAUACCACUCCAGAAAAAUAUCAAACUCCCACCUUUAACACUGUCACAUCCACAAAGAAAGCAUACUGGCUACAAAUCAGAGGAAGGACAUAAAAAAGAAGAAAGUCAAGGUGCUUUUUCUGUUCAACUGUGGCAAAAAAGUUGCGCCGGACAGGAAGCAGUUACGUAUAUGCAGUCCCACAGAGAAAGCCCCAUUUCCUGAAGAACCUGGAGAACUACGUGGAUCAGGAGCUUUCAGCUAUCAGCCCCUGUGAACCAAAAUAUCAAGAACUGAAGCUUCAUGUUUUGGGUUUAAUGCACAAUCACAUAUUGUCCCCCCGAGUCCAUAACAAAGGCUGUACUCAUCAUCUGCUUUGACCACAGGUCUACAGAAAUGUCUUCAGUUGUUUCAUCAAAGAGUUCAAAACUUACCAGCCCAUUCUCUCUGCCAUCAAACAGGAAUAUGAAUACA
Thalassophryne amazonica is the source of this 482-nucleotide long non-coding RNA. RefSeq lists it as uncharacterized. The transcript has 3 exons. The record is from RefSeq and is a predicted model, not a curated record. NCBI's taxonomy places the organism in Eukaryota, Metazoa, Chordata, Actinopteri, Batrachoidiformes, Batrachoididae.